Molecule: unclassified non-coding RNA, 348 nt
Filed under: soil metagenome
Description: partial contains 5.8S ribosomal RNA, internal transcribed spacer 2, and large subunit ribosomal RNA
Rfam family: 5.8S ribosomal RNA (bases 1-120)
Source: RNAcentral
GAUGAAGAACGUAGCAAAAUGCGAUAAGUAAUGUGAAUUGCAGAAUUCAGUGAAUCAUCGAAUCUUUGAACGCACAUUGCGCCCGCUGGUAUUCCGGCGGGCACGCCUGUUCGAGCGUCAUUUCAACCCUCAAGCCCCCGGGUUUGGUGUUGGGGAUCGGCUCUGCCCUUCUGGGCGGUGCCGCCCCCGAAAUACAUUGGCGGUCUCGCUGCAGCCUCCAUUGCGUAGUAGCUAACACCUCGCAACUGGAACGCGGCGCGGCCAUGCCGUAAAACCCCAACUUCUGAAUGUUGACCUCGGAUCAGGUAGGAAUACCCGCUGAACUUAAGCAUAUCAAUAAGCGGAGGA